RNAcentral lists this ribosomal RNA (406 nucleotides) under uncultured bacterium. Its description in RNAcentral is "partial 16S ribosomal RNA". It matches the Rfam family "Bacterial small subunit ribosomal RNA", at positions 30 to 526 of the family's 1533-position model. The record is from RNAcentral.
AUUGAACGCUGGCGGCAGGCCUAACACAUGCAAGUCGAGCGAGCGGCGGACGGGUGAGUAAUGUCUGGGAAACUGCCUGAUGGAGGGGGAUAACUACUGGAAACGGUAGCUAAUACCGCAUACCAUCAGAUGUGCCCAGAUGGGAUUAGCUAGUAGGUGGGGUAACGGCUCACCUAGGCGACGAUCCCUAGCUGGUCUGAGAGGAUGACCAGCCACACUGGAACGGGGACACGGUCCAGAAUCCUACGGGAGGCAGCAGGUGGGAAUAUUGCACAAUGGGCGCAAGUCUGAUGCAGCCAUGCCGCGUGUGUGAAGAAGGCCUUCGGGUUGUAAAGCAAUUUCAGCGGGGAGGCGUUACCCGCAGAAGAAGCACCGGCUAACUCCGUGUCAGCAGGCGCGGUAAUUC